GGAGACUUUAGUAGCUGGUUCAAAAGUCAUCUUUAUUUUUGCAAUUUAAUUUGAUUAUUGGGUCAAUAACAUAUACAAAAAAGACAUAAUCUACUUCACCAAAUGGUCAGUAUCCCUUACAAUUUCCAGUGAAGGAAGCACUAUUGCAGCCACUGGCUGAUCUUCAAAUCCACCACCUUGAUCUAUUACAAGUCUUAGGCCUUCAAUAUGUAAUUUUGCAUGGUGGCCACUUACGAUAAUCGUUGGAGUUUUAGUCAGUUCCUGAGGGAUUUCCCAUACGUCCUUCCUUCCACUGAGGGAAGCAACUUUAGGAAUCCUCGUGUCCUUUGCUUUCAAGGUGUUAAUCUGCUGCUCAACAGAUUUGUUUUUCUCCAAGCCGGCAUGAACAGCAAUUAGUUUGCACCUUUUAAUUCCUUCCUCGGUUUUUAUGGUAACAUCGUCCUCUUCAUGGAUCCAAACCAAAUUGGCAAGGAAUUUCUUGUGUUCCUCAUGGUUCUGCUGAUCUUAUGAAGGCAGUUCCUGAUGAGCACAAGAAAUU
RNAcentral lists this unclassified non-coding RNA (538 nucleotides) under Hevea brasiliensis (rubber tree). The record is from RNAcentral. Lineage: Eukaryota; Viridiplantae; Streptophyta; Magnoliopsida; Malpighiales; Euphorbiaceae.